Long non-coding RNA from Cebus imitator (Panamanian white-faced capuchin), 273 nucleotides. RefSeq lists it as uncharacterized. The transcript has 3 exons. The record is from RefSeq and is a predicted model, not a curated record. NCBI's taxonomy places the organism in Eukaryota, Metazoa, Chordata, Mammalia, Primates, Cebidae.
UGUCAAAGUGCUUCUUGGCUGUCUGUGGGGUUGGCAUGAAAAGGAUUGAGCGUCAAGGUGGAUGUCUCUUUGCCCACUUUUUGGAUUGUGGUCUAGAAAGCAUAUUGUGAUUUGUACAAGAAGCACGUUCCCAUUUGGACCUUUAACAAAUUCAGCUGUUUCGUGUUCUGUAGAGAAGUACUGAGCAGCUUAAAGCAUUUGAAUGGGAGGAGGAGAAGCAAACUACAGCUACUUCAGAAGAUGACACUAAAUACCUAGUCCAACCUGUAUACA